Molecule: ribosomal RNA, 877 nt
Filed under: Lactiplantibacillus plantarum
Lineage: Bacteria; Bacillati; Bacillota; Bacilli; Lactobacillales; Lactobacillaceae
Description: bacterial SSU rRNA
Rfam family: Bacterial small subunit ribosomal RNA
Source: RNAcentral
UGCUCAGGACGAACGCUGGCGGCGUGCCUAAUACAUGCAAGUCGAACGAACUCUGGUAUUGAUUGGUGCUUGCAUCAUGAUUUACAUUUGAGUGAGUGGCGAACUGGUGAGUAACACGUGGGAAACCUGCCCAGAAGCGGGGGAUAACACCUGGAAACAGAUGCUAAUACCGCAUAACAACUUGGACCGCAUGGUCCGAGCUUGAAAGAUGGCUUCGGCUAUCACUUUUGGAUGGUCCCGCGGCGUAUUAGCUAGAUGGUGGGGUAACGGCUCACCAUGGCAAUGAUACGUAGCCGACCUGAGAGGGCAAUCGGCCACAUUGGGACUGAGACACGGCCCAAACUCCUACGGGAGGCAGCAGUAGGGAAUCUUCCACAAUGGACGAAAGUCUGAUGGAGCAACGCCGCGUGAGUGAAGAAGGGUUUCGGCUCGUAAAACUCUGUUGUUAAAGAAGAACAUAUCUGAGAGUAACUGUUCAGGUAUUGACGGUAUUUAACCAGAAAGCCACGGCUAACUACGUGCCAGCAGCCGCGGUAAUACGUAGGUGGCAAGCGUUGUCCGGAUUUAUUGGGCGUAAAGCGAGCGCAGGCGGUUUUUUAAGUCUGAUGUGAAAGCCUUCGGCUCAACCGAAGAAGUGCAUCGGAAACUGGGAAACUUGAGUGCAGAAGAGGACAGUGGAACUCCAUGUGUAGCGGUGAAAUGCGUAGAUAUAUGGAAGAACACCAGUGGCGAAGGCGGCUGUCUGGUCUGUAACUGACGCUGAGGCUCGAAAGUAUGGGUAGCAAACAGGAUUAGAUACCCUGGUAGUCCAUACCGUAAACGAUGAAUGCUAAGUGUUGGAGGGUUUCCGCCCUUCAGUGCUGCAGCUAACGCAUAA